UACGGAGGGGGCUAGCGUUGUCCGAAGUUACUGGGCGUAAAGGGCUCGUAGGCGGCCAACUAAGUCAUACGUGAAAUCCCUCGGCUUAACCGGGGAACUGCGUCUGAUACUGGAUGGCUUGAGUUCGGGAGAGGGAUGCGGAAUUCCAGGUGUAGCGGUGAAAUGCGUAGAUAUCUGGAGGAACACCGGUGGCGAAGGCGGCAUCCUGGACCGAUACUGACGCUGAGGAGCGAAAGCCAGGGGAGCAAACGGG
This 253-nucleotide ribosomal RNA is filed under the name uncultured bacterium. RNAcentral describes it as "partial 16S ribosomal RNA". It matches the Rfam family "Bacterial small subunit ribosomal RNA", at positions 524 to 776 of the family's 1533-position model. The record is from RNAcentral.